RNAcentral lists this long non-coding RNA (410 nucleotides) under Homo sapiens (human). RNAcentral describes it as "HSALNT0193016". Lineage: Eukaryota; Metazoa; Chordata; Mammalia; Primates; Hominidae. The record is from RNAcentral.
UUAAUUACCAAUUCAUCUGUUGGCAGACUCUUCUGGCAGAUGUACCUGCAACUUGGAAAGAUAACAAAUGAACCAAUUCCUUACUCCAGAGUUGACACUGGUAGUGCUUACUGAAUUUGCUCUCAAAAAAGAAUCCUGGGCAACAAUACAUCUGGCACUCUGCUCGAGGAAUUUGUCAUGUCAUUGACAUGUUCAGCCUCCAUUGUCCACACCACCCUGACAGCAGACCUCUGACUAUGUGAAGAUACGGUGGGAAGAUGACUGACCGCAAGACAGGAAGAGAGCCCUCACCGAGGAACCAAAUUGGCCAGUAUCUUGAUUUUGGAUUUCUCAACCUCAAGAACCAUGAGAAAUGAAUGUCUGCUGUUCAAGCCACCCAGUCAAUGGUAUUUUGUUAUGGCAGCCCCAGC